Chelonus insularis is the source of this 1022-nucleotide long non-coding RNA. RefSeq lists it as uncharacterized. The record is from RefSeq and is a predicted model, not a curated record. The transcript has 3 exons. Lineage: Eukaryota; Metazoa; Arthropoda; Insecta; Hymenoptera; Braconidae.
GUCUUCGGGAGUAUGCGGCUUACAAAUUUUACCUCACGACUACCAUCCACGUGGUCAUGUGUACCAAUUUGUUGUUUAUCACGAAUAUCUCAAAAUUUUUAAACAAUUUAAAGAAAACAUUGUAGAACAAUCUUUAAAAUCAGUUUAUCUAUUGAAGCAACACUUAGAAGUGAUAUUGUUUAUUCAUUUAUUUAAAUUUGUGUUAUUUUUUUGCUUAGUGUUGACUCAAACAUCUCGAAAAUUUAACGAGAAUAUAUUCUGAAUGAAAAGUUUGUUUUUCUGUCAAAGUUUCCUCCCCCCGGAGGCAUUUCGUGAAUUUUCGUGGUUGAGAGAAGUCUGUUGAAUUAUUUAUAAGUCACCUCAGUGAUUGCGGUUGCUUUUUGAGAAAAACCUAUGAAAAAUGUCGUGGGAUUGUAAAUUAAAUAACCAACCGUCAAUGAAUCUUGAACAGUCAGAGGAAACGGUUGCUUCCUCGUGCUUUUAAAAGCACCAACGAGAAUGAUAAAUCUCACCGUAACCAAUAAAAAAGUAAAUAAAAUUCUGGGUCACAUUGACCCCAGUACAAAAAAAGGAACAAAUUAGUGCGAGAAAGAAUGUCCUGCGAAAAGGCAUCAAGACGCCUGAGAUACAUUAUCGCCAAGGCAAAACGAUUCGGGCUAACAGAGUGUGAGUUGGCAGAUUUACCUGGAGCAAAAAAAUUUACAACUUCCAAGUCAGGACUAAGCACUUGGUCCCUUAUCGCCGUGGUAAUUGCUCUUAUCAUUGGUGGAACCCUUUUGCUGGCGCUGAUUUGCAACCCAUGUACAAGAAGAAGUCAAAUUCACGUCCACAGGAAUUAAGUAUUAAUGAAUGGCAGGAAUGAAUGCUUGGGGUCAUGGCAAAGAAGAGUGAAGAUAAGACCGUUGUUUUUCAAGGAUUGUGAAAAAUUUUUUUUUUAACAUAUUGCCUAAAGUAUAUGAAUUAUAAUGUAAGCAAUUUUUGGAUAAUUAAUGGAAGUUCAUUAAAGCAUUUAUGAGAAAUUA